GUCAGAAUCUGGUAAAAGACCAGACGAGGACCAUCCAACAAAAGAAUUUGUCAGUGUAAACAAAGAACUGAAGGAGAAACCAGAGACAACUCCAGUUCCAGAAUUAUUUGUUGAACCUCCCAAGAAAGAAGUGCAUCCAAUUGAGGUUCUUACAGUGGAAGAACAAGUAGAAGUUAUCACAAAAGAAAUUAUCGUAACAACUGAACCUCCAACAGAAAAGG
This 221-nucleotide unclassified non-coding RNA is filed under the name Hevea brasiliensis (rubber tree). The record is from RNAcentral. Lineage: Eukaryota; Viridiplantae; Streptophyta; Magnoliopsida; Malpighiales; Euphorbiaceae.